RNAcentral lists this ribosomal RNA (321 nucleotides) under Triticum aestivum (bread wheat). RNAcentral describes it as "partial small subunit ribosomal RNA". Lineage: Eukaryota; Viridiplantae; Streptophyta; Magnoliopsida; Poales; Poaceae. The record is from RNAcentral.
AUGCCUGCUCGUCAUCUACAAGCAGCCUCGUGUGUCUCUGUUCACGGAUCUUCAUGGCAGCUCCUCUUCUUCUCCUACUUUUCACUCCUCAUUGUUUACAGAACUAGGUUCAGCUGCCUUCGUCUGUGCAUAUCCUUUUCAUAUAACUGUUCAUCGGGAAUGAGCUGGAAAUUAAUUGAAAUCUUCAGAGUUCACAAUUUGCCUUUUCAAUGCCCCGAAAUACUUCCAUCGUGGGCACAAGAAUGUCAGGAAGGGGUGGGGCUAACCCCUAUUUUGGUGACCAUCUCUUCAUGCCCUGUUGAAUAUAACUUCUCCACCUAA